Long non-coding RNA from Argiope bruennichi, 885 nucleotides. RefSeq lists it as uncharacterized. NCBI's taxonomy places the organism in Eukaryota, Metazoa, Arthropoda, Arachnida, Araneae, Araneidae. The record is from RefSeq and is a predicted model, not a curated record. The transcript is spliced from 5 exons.
CAUAGGUUGGAUAAUUUGACACUUCAUCGGUACCAUUUUGCUCAAUAAAUUCACGCCAUCAAGCACCAGUAUUACUUUCUCAAUUCCAUUUACAAGCCAUCUUUCGAUGUCAGUUAUUCUGGAUGCGAGGAAAUAUUCUCUUAAGAUGACAUAUAUUGACAUGCUCUGACAUUAAUGACCAACAGCCAGAACUUUGGAGUCAUACGUACUAGCAAGAACUAAUGAUAUAACAUCCGUUUGCAUCACUUUACUUACAAAUACUACUGGGGUCAAACAGAAUGUCAUAUAAAUCGACAACGAGGUCAACUCAUCUGCAUUUGAUACUACAGCAGUGCACUGAGCAAUGAAUACAUCCGAUGACGUUGAUUUGAAAACAGCACAACUAUGCUCCCCAUCUGUGGAAAGAAUGGUCCUUUCAGUUCCAGCUACAAAUUCUACAUACAGAGGAUGUCUAGAUUCCCAGAAAAGAACGGUACAGAAGUAAUUUUGUGAAAUGGAAAGUCGCAGACAUCAUUAAAGAAGCAGAUUAUCCUGAGCAGACAUCUGCGUUUAAUGGGAACAAUUGCGCAACGUCAUUCCCCAUAAGAAGAUUGACUGCAUUUACAGCUAUUGGCAAAUAGUACGGAGAGCAGCUGUCCAGACGGCCAGAAAACAUUUUAUUGUUUGACACAGAAGUAAUAUCGGCUGGAUAACUUUUGACACUUAAUAGAUACCAGCUUGCGUGAUAAAGGUAUGCCACCAACCACAGUAUUUUCUCAGUUUCGUACACAUGCCAUCCAUCUAUAUCACUCUUCCUGGAUGCGAGGAAGUAUUCGCUUAAGAUACGUCUAUGUAUCCAAAGGCACAAUAGACAUGUUUUGCCCGAAAUGACCAUGGCUCAACAGG